Molecule: long non-coding RNA, 3067 nt
Organism: Diachasmimorpha longicaudata
Lineage: Eukaryota; Metazoa; Arthropoda; Insecta; Hymenoptera; Braconidae
Exons: 3
Source: RefSeq, a predicted model, not a curated record
ACUAUCAAACAGGAUCAGCUAAAGUAGACGUUCAGACUUCGACGGUCAAGCGACUCCUUGCCAACGCUCGUCAUGAUUCCGAUGGGGGGAGGCGCCACCACCGAUUGUGGCGCCCUGUUCAUUAGAAAAUUAUCUCAUCAUUUCUAAUGAGUAGUAAAUAAUGAGGAGAAUUUAAUUCUCUUCUGCAAAGGGACAAUUAAAUUCUCUUUCGUAUAACGUUGGUUUCAUAAUUUAGUACUCAUUAGAAACGAAGAGACAAUUUUUUAAUGAACAGGGGCCCUCCCACUACCGGAAGAGACGGUGGUGCCUCCCAGCGCCGGAAAAGACGGUGGCGCUUCCCCCCCCCCUGGAAUUGUAACUAAUGUUGGCGUGGGGUCGCCAGACCCCCGCGAUCAGUCCCGGCUUCAGUAUUUUCUCUUUGUUAUUAUGACGCGAAUAUUAACGUUUGGCGAUGUUGGUUGACCUCGGUAUGUGUUCUAUUUGUGUUGUGUUUAUUUAAUUAAUGCAUUAUACUGCUCAUUUGAUUGGUGAAUCGCCAGCAUUUCUGAAAGAUGCCAACCGGACAUGGUACGGAAAAAAACGGGAAGUGAGUAACGUAACUGCGGGGGUUCUCAUCACUGAGUGACAUUUUUGGCCAUUUUGUGAGUUUUAUCGAAUUAAUGGACAGUUUUAUGAGGGUUCGUGAAAAGAAUGGGGCUUCUACUUCAAUUCAUUCGGAAUUAGAUGACUCACACGUUGAGGAAAUCGUCAAAAUAAAUCGUGAAACGCGAUGGCCGCGACGAGCCGCCAUUUUUGGUCCUUUGUUGUGAAGUGAACAGUGAAGUGAACAGUGAAAUAACGGCGGGGGUGAACUUCUAGCAGUGGUUUUUCAUCAUGUAAGUGAGGAAAUAAUCUACUGAUCAUUGGUAUCACACCUUCAAUUAAUAAUGAAUGUUUCGAAAUAUUAAAAAACUCAGGUCGAUUAGUAAUUAAAUACAUAAUGUGGGGUAAUCAGAAACCUGUGGAAUUCUAACCUGCAGUGGAAAUCAGUGUUAUUCAACUUGGAUAUUCCUACAGUUUUCUGUGGUUCUGAUGAUUAUAGUGAUCGACAGUGACAACAGUGUGUGCUAUAAAUGAAAUAUCAACAGAACAGUGAUGACUAAGUGCCUGAGUUUUUGAAAAUCAACAGCCUUUCAGCUAUCAGUGAUCAGCUGUCGGCCAAGGAGCUCAAACAAGAGUUUCUACGUGAAGGUCAAAUCGUCUUAUUUUCAUGUUGACGUGAGGAUCCUGGAGCUGCAGCAAUACUACCUGGAAAAAUAAUGGAUCUCACAACCGAGAAAAAAAAAAUAUAUAUAUAUCUUGAAGGCCGUCUUCGUGGGUCGAGGGAGUGGACUCAGGGCGAUUAAUCUCUGGAGAUAUGAUGUUUGACCCACCAGUCGUUGUGGGAAAGAGGAAGUUCAAGGGAUGAUGACUACUAUCGCCAGGGCGAGGGUCCGAGUGCGGUUCAAAAUACAUUAAGGGGCAUAAGAAACGACCGUAAAAGUCGGGAAUGAGAUUUCAGUUUUAUGGAUGUUAUUUUGCGCCCAAUUUAUUUUCAAAUUUCAAGUUUACAACGUCGAUAAGACAAUUUCCAUUUUAUAAUGGUUUGAAAAAUCCGGCGGGACAAGAAAAUUGACUUGUAGAAAUUGCAUUUCACAUCCUCUUAAAUUACCAGUUUUGAAUGCAUAAAAAAAAAUUCUCCCAAAAUUUUGCUCUCCAUAAUUUGAAAUAUCUAUAUCUCCGAAAAUCCCUACGUGGGAUGGAUGAUUAAGACGAUCAGUGGAUAGUAUUUUAUUUUAUUAUUUAUUUAUGUUGCAGAAAAUUCGUUUCCAGUUCCCGGAAGAAUUUACAACUGACCAUAAUCCGAGGGCUUUCAGGGGAUAUUUUCUUUUAUUUUUUCUUCGAGAAAAUUGUAAGAUGUGAAUGAAUUGAAGGGAUCGCCCUUCAAUGAAUUAAUUUACGAUUUAAUUAACAUAAUCACUUACGUUGCCAGUGAUUUAAUUUACGAGCUUGGCAUAAGUCAUCAUAGUGUCAAAGGAAAAGUGUUUGCGUGAUGUAACAGGUUUAUUACGGUUGAGUUUAGGAUUUUGGGGAUUCCUGGGAUGACUGAGGGUGGCCUCUGUGGCUCUUUGUGGGGUGACUUUUCUAGGGCAAAGGUUGCUCAGUUUAAGCAUGGGUGUGAGUGAUAAAAUGAUUGUCCUUUAGACGAGAAAAUUACGAGUGGGUCAGUUGUGAGUUGGAGUUCGGGUUUAACAGAUCAUCGAUGCAGAUGAAGAUUAAUAUUUGUGAAGAGCCUAGUAAAUAUUUAACAAAUGUGCGCGAGCACUGAAACAACUUCAUUCAAAUACUUCUUUCAUUUGUCAAUACUCUUCGUAUAUUGUCUAGUUAAUUAACAAAAAACACGAAAAGAAUUUUUGGAUAAAAAUUCGAUCUCCAGAGAACGAAACGUGGGACGAAAUUUUUCACUGCAAAUAUUUCCCGAAGUUUUAAUGUUUCACUGGCAGAAUUCAAAUAUUUUUCAUUGUCAUUCAACGUCAACAGACAAUGCACCAUAUCUACAUUUUAUUUAUUUAAAUUCUAUUGGGACUCAACCACUGAAAAUUCGAACGAGAAUUACAAAAGAUACGAGAAAGAUAGAAAAUCUAAUGGAAUAAAUGGAAUUGAAGAAAUAAAAAUGAACAUUUACUGGCAUUACCACCACCCCGGUAGAUUGCCACCUCCUUUUGUCCCCGUCUUUCUUCUAUUUUUCAUAGAAAUAGUCGCGAAAAAAAAAAAAAGAUAUAGAUACUUCCUGUGGUGCCAUUAUGGGAGCGAUAGCGCGGCUCGUUUGUUCCGACUGAAGCUUCCGUGCGACUUCUUCCUCAACUGAAAGACCAAUCCAUACGACUUUUACCAGUUUACUCUUCUCUUUUCAUCCCUCAGCCAAACCCUCGUCCGUUUCUCCGUCACUCAGAAAUUUUCGCGCAGAAAGGAGUACAGAAGUACCUAAAAGCAUCUAUUGUUUCGCGAAUGGAGUGCGAUGAUGUGACAAAGGAGUGUUUCGAUUAUU